RNAcentral lists this unclassified non-coding RNA (284 nucleotides) under Hevea brasiliensis (rubber tree). Lineage: Eukaryota; Viridiplantae; Streptophyta; Magnoliopsida; Malpighiales; Euphorbiaceae. The record is from RNAcentral.
GGGUGUGCAGAAGGAAAUCAAAGAGUCCUGAAUGCAUCUGUAUAAUUUUUCGCAUAAUAUCGUUAUUCUCUUUGUCUUUUGAAUGUUAAUAUAGUUAUGGAAUAUUUUGUUAAGUUGGAUGAAAUCUUAGUUGUGUGCUUGAUUUUUCUCUCAGCUGCUUUUUUCUUCAAAGAUAGUGUUUGAUGUUCAAAAUGUUUGUCCAGCAAUCCCGAACUCAUAUCUCAACGAACUAAUUACCAAGUCUUGACAUGUCUUUCCAGAUAAACUUCCUGAAAACUGGAGUG